RNAcentral lists this long non-coding RNA (755 nucleotides) under Pan troglodytes (chimpanzee). Its description in RNAcentral is "lincRNA". The stretch from base 194 to 277 matches the Rfam family "mir-22 microRNA precursor family". The record is from RNAcentral. Lineage: Eukaryota; Metazoa; Chordata; Mammalia; Primates; Hominidae.
AGAAGAGACAGCGCCGCCGGCCGUGGGGAGCGGACGCAGUGAUUUGCUCCCCCUCGUGCAGCAACCCCCACACCCAGCACCAGGCCCCCAGAACUCUCCUUCCAGCUGAACUCCCUGGGAACAAGUCAGUUGGGCUGAUCACUGAACUCACAUUUCUGGACCUGAGGAGCCUGUUCCUCUCACGCCCUCACCUGGCUGAGCCGCAGUAGUUCUUCAGUGGCAAGCUUUAUGUCCUGACCCAGCUAAAGCUGCCAGUUGAAGAACUGUUGCCCUCUGCCCCUGGCUUCGAGGAGGAGGAGGAGCUGCUUUCCCCAUCAUCUGGAAGGCUUUCUGCCUCCGAGAUGUGGCACCAUAGUGCGGUGCCCUGUGGCUUCACCGCCCUACUUCCACCUCCGCCCAGCCUGUAAUGUUUAUAUAAGCAGCCUCAAGGACCAAGAACCAUCUGCGAAAGGACACACACAGGAAAUUCAUAAAAGAAAUCUGAAUGGAUAAAACCAUGAAAAAAAAGUAUGCUUCAUUAGUAAUUAAAGAAAGGCAAAUAGAGCUGGAAGCAUUUUUCCCUUAGCAAACCAUAACAGAAAAAAAUAAGACCCGAUAUUAGCAAAGAGACUACUGAAAAAACAUUCCCAUACAUUGCGUGUGGGAGUAUACAUCGGUGCAGGCUUCCUGGAUGACAGUUGGGUGAUAUGUGUCAUGUGGCCUAAAAGCCUCCAUGUCAUUUGACCUACGAAUUCUAUCUUUGGGAAUUUAUCCUA